Molecule: long non-coding RNA, 1184 nt
Organism: Ictalurus punctatus (channel catfish)
Lineage: Eukaryota; Metazoa; Chordata; Actinopteri; Siluriformes; Ictaluridae
Source: Ensembl
UAUUCCUGACUCGUGUACAGUGUAGAUUAUUCCUGACUCGUGUACAGUGUAGAUUAUUCCUGACUCGUGUACCGUGUAGGUUAUUCCUGACUCGUGUAUAGUGUAGAUUAUUCCUGACUCGUGUACCGUGUAGAUUAUCCCUGACUCGUGUAUCGUGUAUCCUGCUCAGGAAGAGUUCAGUUCCUCGACGCAGCGCUGGUUCACGUCGAGCCGUAUGGAAAUAGUAUGAAAAGUUACGUUACUAUGGAAAGUUGAAGCGUGUUGUUCUAUAACGGAGCUGUUCAAAUUCACCGUCUAGUCCGAAUAACUGUGUGUGCAAAUGUCCUGUGUGACACGCUGAGGUGUGUGUGUGUGUGUGUGUGUGCGUGUGUGUAGGGUGUGUAUGUGUGCGUGUGUGCGUGUGUGUGUAUGUAGGGUGUGUGACUGUUAGGUCUUUCUCACACCCACACACACUUAAAUAAAGAAAGAGGGUUCAGAUAUAAUGACACACGGGUACAAUGGCAAUGCAACACACUACACAACUAAUAAAUAUAACAACAGUCUAAAUAAACAGGUGAAGUAAUAAUAUAUAAUAUUCAGGACAGAAUAAAUCUGCUUAAGACUUAACACUCCGUGUCACGCUGUGAAAGGAAAAUAAUGAGUGGCACGGUGCAGCGAUGAGGCGGAGUUACUGUUACACACAGAGGACCAUUAUUUCCCUCUGAAGACGAAUAUAUGUUUGAACCCACCCCUUUUUCAGUUGAUCAAAAAGUAUUGGAACAUGUGACCGAUAGGUGUUUCUUGUUACCCGGGUGUGUCCUGUUAGACUGAUUGUUUACAGAAUUAAUAGCUCUGAAUGUCUACUCUGGGUUUGGACUGCGUUUGUUGUUUAAAAAGGAUAAACCAACACGAAGACCGGAGAGCUGUCUGUGGGAGAAAAGCGAGCCGUUUUGAAGCUGAGAGAAAAUGUCGAGGGAAAAUCAAUCACAAACAUUGUGUAUAGAGAACACAACCGUUUGGAAUGUCCUGAAAAAGAAAGAAACCGCCGGUGUACUGAGGAACAGACACCGAACGGGUCGGCCGAGGAAAACCACAGCAGCCGAUGACGAACAUUGUGAGAGCCGUGAAGAAAAACCCAAAAACAACAGACAGUGACGUCCAACAACCUCCACAGGGCAGGGUGAAGGUCACAAUCCACCGUUAGA